AGUGAACGCUGGCGGUAGGCCUAACACAUGCAAGUCGAACGGCAGCACAGUAAGAGCUUGCUCUUACGGGUGGCGAGUGGCGGACGGGUGAGGAAUACAUCGGAAUCUACUUUUUCGUGGGGGAUAACGUAGGGAAACUUACGCUAAUACCGCAUACGACCUACGGGUGAAAGCAGGGGAUCUUCUGACCUUGCGCGAUUGAAUGAGCCGAUGUCGGAUUAGCUAGUUGGCGGGGUAAAGGCCCACCAAGGCGACGAUCCGUAGCUGGUCUGAGAGGAUGAUCAGCCACACUGGAACUGAGACACGGUCCAGACUCCUACGGGAGGCAGCAGUGGGGAAUAUUGGACAAUGGGCGCAAGCCUGAUCCAGCCAUACCGCGUGGGUGAAGAAGGCCUUGGGGUUGUAAAGCCCUUUUGUUGGGAAAGAAAAGCAGCAGGUUAAUACCCCGCUGUUCUGACGGUACCCAAAGAAUAAGCACCGGCUAACUUCGUG
This 492-nucleotide ribosomal RNA is filed under the name uncultured bacterium. Its description in RNAcentral is "partial 16S ribosomal RNA". It matches the Rfam family "Bacterial small subunit ribosomal RNA", at positions 29 to 507 of the family's 1533-position model. The record is from RNAcentral.